This 223-nucleotide long non-coding RNA is filed under the name Mytilus galloprovincialis (Mediterranean mussel). The record is from RNAcentral. Lineage: Eukaryota; Metazoa; Mollusca; Bivalvia; Mytilida; Mytilidae.
UUUUUUCUAAUAAAUAAAAAUACAAAAAUUUAUGUUAUGUCUUAAUACAAUAUCACAUUAAAUUAGAUUUAGUCAUUUUAGCUAAAUGUCAAAUCGAAGAGCAAAUUAAACCAUUACGUCUGCAAGAAAUCGCUCUUAUUAUCAAGAGAACUGAUUUGUAGUGGAACAAAUUGGAAGACUGUAGGAAAAUCUAAUCUUUCAGUAUAAUCAUCUAUAAUUACAG